UACGUAGGGCGCAAGCGUUAUCCGGAAUUAUUGGGCGUAAAGAGCUCGUAGGCGGUCAGUCGCGUCUGCUGUGAAAACUCGGGGCUUAACUCCGGGCCUGCAGUGGGUACGGGCUGACUAGAGUGCGGUAGGGGAGACUGGAAUUCCUGGUGUAGCGGUGAAAUGCGCAGAUAUCAGGAGGAACACCGGUGGCGAAGGCGGGUCUCUGGGCCGUAACUGACGCUGAGGAGCGAAAGCGUGGGGAGCGAACAGG
This 253-nucleotide ribosomal RNA is filed under the name uncultured bacterium. RNAcentral describes it as "partial 16S ribosomal RNA". It matches the Rfam family "Bacterial small subunit ribosomal RNA", at positions 524 to 776 of the family's 1533-position model. The record is from RNAcentral.